RNAcentral lists this long non-coding RNA (295 nucleotides) under Elaeis guineensis (African oil palm). Its description in RNAcentral is "long non-coding RNA (EGUI_LNC004245)". The record is from RNAcentral. Lineage: Eukaryota; Viridiplantae; Streptophyta; Magnoliopsida; Arecales; Arecaceae.
GCAGUUCGAUAUCUCUAUGCAGAAAUGUCACGUUCCCAAUCUAAUAUUCGGAUCGAAUACAUAAUUAUUAUAUAUUUUUUAAAAUAAAUUUUAAAAAAAUAUAUAAAAUCAAAAAUAAUUUAUUAUAAUAUUUUAAUAUUUAUAAAUAAUAAUAAUUUAUUUUUAUAAUAAUAAAUAAAAUUUAUAUAAUUAUAAAUUUAAUUCCUUCUAUCAUCUAAUUGGAUAUUAAUAAUGCUCAAUCUAUUCAUCCGCUUACCCGCAAACCUAAACCAUAGUCAAUCAUGAGCAUCCGACA